RNAcentral lists this ribosomal RNA (268 nucleotides) under uncultured bacterium. RNAcentral describes it as "partial 16S ribosomal RNA". It matches the Rfam family "Bacterial small subunit ribosomal RNA", at positions 524 to 776 of the family's 1533-position model. The record is from RNAcentral.
UACGGGGGGAGCGAGCGUUAUUCGUCAUGACUGGGCGUAAAGGGGAUCUGUAGGUGGCUAGAUUUAUGAUUUGCUUGUAAAGCCUUAUGGGAAGACAUUGGGAGUGUGGUGAAUUACAUGGUUUUAGCUUUGGAGUCUAUUGGAUGGUUGCAGUACCCCCAGAGUAGAGGUGGAAUCCGGAGAUCCUGGAGGGGACUCGCAAUAUGUGAAAACGGUAACCGUCGGUAGUACUGACGCUGGAGGGAUGAAAGCAUGGGGAGCAAACAGG